UAUCGUCAGAGUCAAUCAAAAACCUAAUUAAACUACGUAGAUAGCGUAAGUAGGGUAUCGUAUCCACGGGGAAUAUGUGGUUAGUGUUUAACUAGAGAAUUAUUAUAUAUUAAAGGAAAGCAACUCCCACCCAGAAUCCCGAUUGCAAGUUUAACACAAAAACCCGUUUACAGAUUCAUAACACCACAUAGACAUGGCCUCGGAAUUAAUGAAUUUGAUUAAUUAUUAGGGAUAGCUUUUAAGAUUCACCAUACAACCUAAUAAUCCAUUUAUUUAUAUCAACUACCCACCAAUUUACCAACCCGCUAACGAUGCAAGUAUAUCGCCAAUACGCUUGAUAAACGACAAAUAAUUCAAAUAUAAAAAACGUUUACCAAGAAUUCAACACAAGUGGUCAAGCUUUACCAGUUAAAAAGAAUCCGUGAACAAAGUUUAAUGAAAAACAAAGUAAUCGUUCAUCCGGGCAGAAGCCACAAGCAAAAAGAUAAAGGUAACGUCCUCCAAGUUUCAGAUUCUAGGUUCACACCAAACUUAAUUUAAUCAUUAAUUGGACACCACAUAGACAUGGUGCUGAAAAGUCGGUUAAUUUAAGUGGUAAUCAAAAAUAGGUCUUUGUCAUCAGAUCUUUUACAGUUCAAUUACCCUAUUUACUAGUGUGAGUCAACCUACUCUAUGUCACCCAACGAGCUACAAAGUUUUGUCAUCAACCGAGCAAGUUGUAAAAAAAACACUAAGCGCACUAAUUCCCCGGCAACGGCGCCAUUUUGAUGACUAUCGUCAGAGUCAAUCAAAAACCUAAUUAAACUACGUAGAUAGCGUAAGUAGGGUAUCGUAUCCACGGGGAAUAUGUGGUUAGUGUUUAACUAGAGAAUUAUUAUAUAUUAAAGGAAAGCAACUCCCACCCAGAAUCCCGAUUGCAAGUUUAACACAAAAACCCGUUUACAGAUUCAUAACACCACAUAGACAUGGCCUCGGAAUUAAUGAAUUUGAUUAAUUAUUAGGGAUAGCUUUUAAGAUUCACCAUACAACCUAAUAAUCCAUUUAUUUAUAUCAACUACCCACCAAUUUACCAACCCGCUAACGAUGCAAGUAUAUCGCCAAUACGCUUGAUAAACGACAAAUAAUUCAAAUAUAAAAAACGUUUACCAAGAAUUCAACACAAGUGGUCAAGCUUUACCAGUUAAAAAGAAUCCGUGAACAAAGUUUAAUGAAAAACAAAGUAAUCGUUCAUCCGGGCAGAAGCCACAAGCAAAAAGAUAAAGGUAACGUCCUCCAAGUUUCAGAUUCUAGGUUCACACCAAACUUAAUUUAAUCAUUAAUUGGACACCACAUAGACAUGGUGCUGAAAAGUCGGUUAAUUUAAGUGGUAAUCAAAAAUAGGUCUUUGUCAUCAGAUCUUUUACAGUUCAAUUACCCUAUUUACUAGUGUGAGUCAACCUACUCUAUGUCACCCAACGAGCUACAAAGUUUUGUCAUCAACCGAGCAAGUUGUAAAGUAAGAGCUCAAAACACAUAAAAAUAGUUCAAAGAAACCAACACAUCAAAUUGUUUACAACGUUGUCAAUGUCAAAAACAAAUCCAAUAAUGCAUAAAACUAAGAAAAGUAAUAAACCCUACAAACCGUUCACUUGGAGAAAGCCACCUAAUCGAUCAUGCCUUGAACCGUGUACAGCCGCCCGAAG
Molecule: long non-coding RNA, 1682 nt
Filed under: Helianthus annuus (common sunflower)
Lineage: Eukaryota; Viridiplantae; Streptophyta; Magnoliopsida; Asterales; Asteraceae
Description: sRNA HanXRQr2_Chr01g0032421
Source: RNAcentral